Molecule: long non-coding RNA, 311 nt
Filed under: Homo sapiens (human)
Lineage: Eukaryota; Metazoa; Chordata; Mammalia; Primates; Hominidae
Description: HSALNT0192371
Source: RNAcentral
CUCUUCACCCUGACGAGAAGUUGUUUCAUCUGGGUCUUUAUGGUACAGAUCAGCAAAAGGGCAGAGAAACCAGAAUCUGAAAGAAUUUCAAAUAUGGAAGCUCACCAUUUAAAACUCAGCUAUAGAUGAUCCUGAACUUACAAUGUGGUACAUCCCAAUAAACUCAUCAUAAAUGGAAAAUAUCAUAAGUUGAAAAUGCAUUUAAUACCCUUAACCUAAUAAAUAUCAGCUUAUCCUAGCCUGCUUUAAAUGUACACAGAACAGUUACAUUAGCCUGGCCUGGGCAAAAUCUUCUAACACAAAGCCUAUUU